UCCGGUGACGAUAGCGAAGUGGCCACACCUGUUCCCAUCCCGAACACAGAAGUUAAGCACUUCCGCGGCAAAAAUAGCCCUUGGGUGAAUCGAGCACGUUGCCGGGU
RNAcentral lists this ribosomal RNA (107 nucleotides) under Bulleidia extructa. Lineage: Bacteria; Bacillati; Bacillota; Erysipelotrichia; Erysipelotrichales; Erysipelotrichaceae. RNAcentral also lists the same sequence under 1 other name. The record is from RNAcentral.